This is a long non-coding RNA of Cuculus canorus (common cuckoo), 1308 nucleotides long. RefSeq lists it as uncharacterized. NCBI's taxonomy places the organism in Eukaryota, Metazoa, Chordata, Aves, Cuculiformes, Cuculidae. The record is from RefSeq and is a predicted model, not a curated record. The transcript has 3 exons.
AAUUAUUCAAGAAGGAAGCUGAGUUUGAUACGCUGAGAUCAAGACUCUUCUUGUCCUCUCCCGUCCUCAGCACGAGAAUGAAGGGAGACCGAGGAAGCGAUGCUGAUAUUGCCAUGGAGCUGGGAGCCAGCAUCCCACAGUGGACAACCAUCCACACGGGCCCGUCUGUGCUGUGCCGCGUGGGGCCAGGGAUCACUCCUGAGACAGAUGCCUUUCACGAUGGAGACGUGUGACUUGCAUAGGAAAUUUGUAUUUCCGAGCUCGGUGAUGGAGGCGGACAGACUUUGUCAUUGCCUGGAAGACAAUGAGGUUGUGCUGGAAUCACCAGCAGGACAGAUCGACUUGUGCAGCUCAGGAGCAGAUAAAUUGACUGCAUUGUGCAAAGUGAGUGACUUGUGAGCCCCGAGGCACAAAAAGGAUCUCUGGGGAAUGAAAGGACUCUGGAAAGGUGAAAACACAAAAGGAUGAGAGUAUCGGAGAGUGUCCUGCGCUGAAAGGGACCCACAAGGAUCAUCGAAUCCAACUCCUGCCCCUACAUAGAACAACCCCCAAAUUCGCACCAUGUAUCUGAAGGCAUUGGCUAAAGGCUUCUGGAAGAUUCUGAAGGCUUGGCAUGAUGACUACUUCCCUGGGGAGCUGCUCCAGUGCUCCACCACCCUGAGUGAAAAACCUUUUCCUAAUGUCCAGUCUAACCCUACCCUGGCAUCUUCCUGCCAUUCCCAACAGGGGAGAAGGUGUCGUUUCAAAACCUGUUGGAGAGAUGGUUUUGCCAAACCUUUCCAGGGGAAAGAGAAGGGAAAGAACCUGCAUCAAAGUGAAGCUUCAAAGUAAAGCAUCAAAACAACAAUGAAAAAACUCUGGGAUUUCAGUGGAGGCUGAAGUGGAGAGUGAAAACACAAGGGAGCUGCUGCUUCACUCCUGCAGGACGUUCGGGAAUCCGGGCUCACGCCUCAUUUUGAGAUGAACCCAGGCUAUGAAGUUAAAAAUUACUUUGGAAUGUUUGUAAAGAUCUAGGGAUUUAGAGGGAAACCCCAUGAGCAAGGAGGGAAGAGAGUGGGAAGGUAAAUAUCUGAAGACUAGCAGAAAGGCUCCUAUCAGUUUUGAGAGAUUAGAUAAGACAGUUUUUAGUGUCUUGGGAGAGAAGCCUCUGCUGACUGGCUGCUCUGUUACCUGCUCAUGUCUCUGGGCCACGCUGACCCCAGGGUGCUCCCUGGGAUGGUUGGGAAGUGAGUCCUGAGACACAGCUUUGGCGUUGAUGUUCCCUUUGAUCCCUUCUGCAAAAAGUGGGACGAGAUCUCCAGCAGCAAC